CAGAAAAUAGUAUAAUAAUUAUUUAAAUUUUGGGGAUUUAAGAUGAGUGAUCUUUUCUGA
Molecule: transfer RNA, 60 nt
Filed under: Alectorobius spheniscus
Lineage: Eukaryota; Metazoa; Arthropoda; Arachnida; Ixodida; Argasidae
Description: tRNA-Pro
Source: RNAcentral